RNAcentral lists this transfer RNA (55 nucleotides) under Trichuris trichiura (human whipworm). Its description in RNAcentral is "tRNA-His". The record is from RNAcentral. Lineage: Eukaryota; Metazoa; Nematoda; Enoplea; Trichinellida; Trichuridae.
AUUACUAUAGUUUAAAUCAAAACGUUGAAUUGUGGUUUCAAAAUUAUUAGUAAUA